This 253-nucleotide ribosomal RNA is filed under the name uncultured bacterium. RNAcentral describes it as "partial 16S ribosomal RNA". It matches the Rfam family "Bacterial small subunit ribosomal RNA", at positions 524 to 776 of the family's 1533-position model. The record is from RNAcentral.
UACGGAGGAUCCGAGCGUUAUCCGGAUUUAUUGGGUUUAAAGGGAGCGUAGGCGGGUUGUUAAGUCAGUUGUGAAAGUUUGCGGCUCAACCGUAAAAUUGCAGUUGAUACUGGCAUCCUUGAGUACAGUAGAGGUAGGCGGAAUUCGUGGUGUAGCGGUGAAAUGCUUAGAUAUCACGAAGAACUCCGAUUGCGAAGGCAGCCUGCUGGACUGUAACUGACGCUGAUGCUCGAAAGUGUGGGUAUCAAGCAGG